Molecule: ribosomal RNA, 168 nt
Filed under: uncultured bacterium
Lineage: Bacteria
Description: partial 16S ribosomal RNA
Rfam family: Bacterial small subunit ribosomal RNA
Source: RNAcentral
UACGGGAGGCAGCGGUGAGGAAUCUUGCACAAUGGGCGAAAGCCUGAUGCAGCGACGCCGCGUGAGGGACGAAGGCCUUCGGGUUGUAAACCUCUGUCAGUAGGGAAGAAGUAUGACGGUACCUACUGAGGAAGCUUCGGCUAACUACGUGCCAGCAGCCGCGGUAAU